This 1306-nucleotide ribosomal RNA is filed under the name Sphagniana ussuriana. RNAcentral's name for it is "Metrioptera ussuriana 16S ribosomal RNA". The stretch from base 617 to 1306 matches the Rfam family "Archaeal large subunit ribosomal RNA", at positions 1423 to 2842 of the family's 2987-position model. Lineage: Eukaryota; Metazoa; Arthropoda; Insecta; Orthoptera; Tettigoniidae. The record is from RNAcentral.
AAGGAUAAAUUUAAAUUUGAUUUUUGCGUUGAAUAAGUUAUUUGAAAUAACUUUAGAUUGUUGGUUUUAGUAUAGUAAUAGAAUAAAUUUAUUUAUUUAUAGUUAAUUAGUAUUGUAGGAGAAAAUUGAAAAAUUUUGAAAAUGAUUUUUUCGUAAAGUAGACUUGUGUUGUACCUUGUGUAUCAGGGUUUAUUAAAUUAAAGUAAGAAAUAUACUUUUCCCGAGUUAGAAGGAGCUAGUUUAUUAUGUUGAUUAAUGUAGUAUCAUUAUCAAUAAUAGUAAGUUUGUAAUGAAAUGUUAGACGUCUUUUAAGAUAUCUGGUUCUCUAAGAAAUGAAUUUAAUUCAGUACUUAUUAGUAGUUUAUGACUUUAUUCGUAAACUAUUAAUUAAGUGUAAUAUUUUGAGGGAUAAGCUUUGGAAUAAUUAUUAUACUUUUAUAAGUGUAUUAAAAAUUGUAGGCUUUAAAUUAGCCAUCAUUUAAAUAAUGUUAUAAGUUAUUUUAUUUUAAUAUAAUUUUAUAGUUGUGUUAAAUAGUAUAUUAGAGUGAAUUAAUAAAUGUUAAUUUAAUUGUAAUAAUGAUAAAAUUAGUAUAUGUAUAAAAUGUAGAUUAUUUAAUAUGUGUUAAUUUAUGAAAAGGAAUUAGGCAAAAUUUAAUAUUCGCCUGUUUAUCAAAAACAUGUCCUUUUGAGAAAAAUUUAAGGUCGGGCCUGCCCACUGACAUUAGCUGAAGGGCCGCGGUAUUUUGACCGUGCAAAGGUAGCAUAAUCAUUAGUCUUUUAAUUGAGGGCUGGAAUGAAUGGUUUGACGAAAUAUUAACUGUCUCUUUAUAAUAAUUGGAAUUUAACUUUUGAGUCAAAAGGCUUAGAUGAAUAUAAAAGACGAGAAGACCCUAUAGAUCUUUAUAUAAUUGAUGUAAUUAUUUAUUUAGCUGUGUUGAUUAUAAUUAUAGUAUUAUAUUUUGUUGGGGUGACAUGAAGAUAUAAGUAACUCUUUAUAAUGGAAACAUUGAUUUAUGAUUAUUUGAUCCGUUAUUAACGAUUAUAAGAUAAAGUUACCUUAGGGAUAACAGCGUAAUUUUUUUUGAGAGUUCUUAUCGACAAAAAAGAUUGCGACCUCGAUGUUGGAUUAAGGAAUAUGAUUAGGUGUAGUAGUUUAAUUAAUAAGUCUGUUCGACUUUUAAAUCCUUACAUGAUCUGAGUUCAGACCGGCGUAAGCCAGGUCGGUUUCUAUCUUUAUAAGAUUAAGAUAUUUUAGUACGAAAGGACCAAAUAUUUAAAAUAAUUUUUUAUUGUGACAAAUACUAAU